This 385-nucleotide ribosomal RNA is filed under the name uncultured bacterium. Its description in RNAcentral is "bacterial SSU rRNA". It matches the Rfam family "Bacterial small subunit ribosomal RNA", at positions 29 to 410 of the family's 1533-position model. The record is from RNAcentral.
AGUGAACGCUGGCGGCAGGCCUAAUACAUGCAAGUCGAACGGCAGCACAGCAGAGCUUGCUCUGUGGGUGGCGAGUGGCGGACGGGUGAGGAAUACAUGGGAAUCUGCCCAGUCGUGGGGAUAACGUAGGGAAACUUACGCUAAUACCGCAUGCGCCCUUCGGGGAAAGCCGGGGACCUUCGGGCCUGGCGCGAUUGGAUGAGCCCAUGUCGGAUUAGCUAGUUGGCGGGGUAAUGGCCCACCAAGGCGACGAUCCGUAGCUGGUCUGAGAGGAUGAUCAGCCACACUGGAACUGAGACACGGUCCAGACUCCUACGGGAGGCAGCAGUAGGGAAUAUUGGACAAAUGGGCGCAAGCCUGAUCCAGCCAUGCCGCGUGAGUGAAG